RNAcentral lists this long non-coding RNA (6430 nucleotides) under Sus scrofa (pig). RNAcentral describes it as "lncRNA (ENSSSCG00015038602.1)". The record is from RNAcentral. Lineage: Eukaryota; Metazoa; Chordata; Mammalia; Artiodactyla; Suidae.
GGAGUGUAGUUGAUUUCUAAUGUUGUGUUAAUUUCAGAUGUACAGUAAAGUCAUUCAGUUAUACAUGAAUUCAUUCUUUUUCAGAUUCUUUCCCCAUAUAGGUUAUUACAGAAUAUUGAGUAGAGCUCCCUGUGCUAAACAGUAGGUCCUUGUUGGUCAUGUAUUUUAUAUAUAGUAGUGUGUAUAUGUUAAUCCCAAACUCAUAAUUUACCCCCCGUCUUUCCCCUUUGAUAACCGUAAGUUUAUUUUCAAAGUCUCUGAGUCUGUUUUUGUUUUAUAAAUAAAUCCAUUUGAAUCAUUUUUUCUUAGAUUCCACAUAAAAUAAUAUAAUAUUUGUCUUCCUCUGUUUGACUUACUUCAUGUAAUAUAAUAAUCUCUAGGCUCAUCCCUGUUGCUGCAAGUGGCAUUAUUUCCAUCUUUUUUUGUGGCUGAGUAGUAUUCCAUUGUGUAUACAGGUACCAAUCCUCUUUAUCCAUUCAUCUGUUGAUGGACAUUUAGGUUGCAUCUGUGUCUCAGCUAUUGUAAAUAGUGCUGCAGUGAACACUGGGGUCCAUGUAUCUUUUUGAAUUAUGGUUUUCUCUAGAUAUAUGCCCAGGGGUGGGAUUGCUGCAUCAUAUGGCAACUCUAUUUUUACUUUUUUAAGGAACCUCUGUAGUGUCCUCCAAUGCACCACUUUACACUCCCACCAAGAGUGUAGGAGGGUUCCCUUUUCUCCACACCCUCUCCUCCAUUUAUUGUUUGUAGACUUUUUGAUGAUGGCCAUCCUGACUGGUGUGAGGUGACACCUCAUGGUAGUUUGGCACUUUCUUAGCUGAAGCCACAGACCCCCAGGGGUUGGUCCAGAGGCUGCCCAGAUCCAAUGAUGACAUCUCUGGCUGGGAACAAUAGAGCCCCACACCUCAGCUACCUUUUUGGCUCUGGCUUCCCAGUGGUGAGGCUCUUAUUAAAUUUGGGAUUACCAUGUGUAAAGCACGGUCUGAAUUUUGUUUGCUCUGCCAUGUAACUUGCCUUUCCAAACACUCAGUCAGAGCUGCAGUUAAUCCACUGACCGUGGGCUUAACCAGCAGGUGGCCAGGAGGCCCCCACCAAAUUCCUCUGGACCCUUUGUUACCUGGCCUGGAAGGGAGAGACCUCUUGUUUGGGAAAUGUUUCUCCUGCCCCCGAACAUUUUCUGUAUUAAGAGUCUUUUGUCACCAUAAAGCUGUAGCGGGGGAUUAUGAUGGGUAGGCUGUCACCUAGAUUGUUUCCUCUGGAGGGUGAGGGGAACGAUUUGCGGGCUGGCCUAAUGAAACCUUUAUCUGGGGGACAAUGCCUUUCCAUUAAAUUAAAGCUCAAGGCUCAACAAUGCCUCCAAACAAACCCCAUUUGAAUAUUUAAUUUGGGAUGGAAGGAGCUGAGUAAACACCUCUCUCCCCUCAGCCCCUUUCUGGAGACCCCCUUGCAGCAAAACGUGAGGUAGGAACUCAAGCUCUUGAUGGGAGCUUAGUAGCUGCUACGGCCAACCAGCAGCAAAGGUGGAAAAACCUCCAUCUUUAACAUGCAUUUGACAUCAAAGCAUGUUGUUUAGUCCUACCUUAAGAAAGAAAGAAAGAAAGAAAGAAAGAAAGAAAGAAAGAAAGAAAGAAAGAAAGAAAGAAAGAAAGAAAGGAAGGUUUCAGGAAAUGAAUGCUGAUCAGAGAAGCGGCCAACUAAAACCUGUCUGUACUGUGCCUUGUAAACAACAGGGGCCUUUCAGAUGAGCGCCCUCCCCACCCCAAGUGCUCAGGAUACAGGACUGAGACCAGAGGGCCCUCAAGAAGAGUGCGCAGCCUCAGACCCCACCCAAGUCUUUCCUCUUUGCUUUCUCACAGAGAAUCUCUAAGAGAAAGAAAUGUCGAACCAUCCUUUUUUUUUUUUUUUUCAAUGGCUGCAGUGACGUCAAAGGCACUGUGAAGGAAUGGAAUUUUCUCUACCCCCCGCCUCUACCUGGCAACCAGGCAGCGAGGCAACAGGCACCCAAGAGACAGUGUGUGGGCAUCUCGGUGCUGGGAGUCAGAAUUAUCCAAGAAUAAUGUCUCUGUGGAGCAUCUGGACAAUUUUCUUGUCCCUCCUCCCAGCACAUCCAGCUGACUCUUGGUCUUCUGGCUUCCUGGGGAGGAAGACCUAUCGUUUGUUCUGUCCUCCCAGAGAUGGUAAUCAAUGCUAACGAGUGUAUGUGCUGGCUCUUUGCUCACCUCUUCAGUCUUCCUUUGGUUUCAUGACCUUUACCUCCAGGGGAGGCGAUCCGAAGCAGCUCAAUCACGCUGGGAGGGGCGAACCCUCACACUGACGCCCUUGAUGUCUCUGUCGAGGACGUGGUUUCUGCCUUGCUCGUGGAGAAUGGAAAGGAACACAGAGAAGGAUAUGUUUCUGGUCUUGCUGCCUGGUGGCCCUUGAGCGUCAUCUCAGUUUGGAGGAGCCAGCCUUAAGUGACCCACUACGGGAGCAGCAGCUGCUGGGACCACACUGCUUGUCAUCAUCUAUCCAAGUUCCCAACCCAGUAUCCCAGAGGGUAGCAAUCAAGUCCCGACGCAGAGGAAGCAUUUAAGGAGAUUUUAGAGACUGGCUACCAGGACCACCCAACUAUGGGCUACUACCUGGGGUCCUGGGAAGUCAGAGCCUCAAGUCCACGAAAAGCUCCUUCUUAGGCAGGCUGUGUGUGUGAGUGUGCGUAGGUGCGCGCACGCACGCGCGCGCACACACACACACACACACACACACGAGAGGCCGGGCGUGAAGAUCUGGCACACAACUUUUGAUGGGUGACUGCUGCCCCCCCAGUCUCUCUGUGGUUGGGCCCAGAUGUGUCCACAUCUGGCGGCAUGGACUGUCUGGCCUCUGGCCAAAUCACACGCAUCAGGGCCCAGGGCUCAGACACAGCUUUCACCUGUGGAUUUGCUUCGACGACUCUACAGUCUAACGGCCACACACUGGCAAUGCCACCCUUCUUUCCUUUGCAUUCAGAUUAACCGCUAAGCCUUCUUUCUAGGCGGGCCUUUGCUCUGGGCGAGGGGAUCCCAGGCAGAGCAGCCAGGGCACAUCUGGGCAAUUCAUUUCCUCAGCAGAAAUGGACCAAGGGCAGGGAUGCGCGGGCUGCUAGCGGGCCGUUCCUCAGGCAGGUACCUGACCUCUCUGAGCCUCAUUUCCUCAUCUGGAACAAGGGGGGUAGUGACAGCAACAAUGUCAGAGGACAGGCGUGAAGAUAAAAUGAGUUAAUAUCUAUAAAGCCCUUAACACAAGGCCUUGCACACAGCGCUCAGUGAAUAUGAGCUGUUUCCUUUUGGCUUCCCUUCUAAUCCUCAUUUGGGGCUUUCUGUCCUUUAGUCCCACGGUUGUAGGACAUGUGAUCUCUGAGGACAACUUUUAGAGCUUCUUGUUAGGAGGUUUGUGACAUUUCUGCCAAUUCCUGAAUGCUACCUAGACAAGAAGGUCAAAGUGGGGCCAGCGAGAUGGCCUGGGCUGGCUCUUGCCCAGGCCUCUCUGUCCAGCCCUUCUGCCCAUCACCCACCACAUACCAGGGGCUAGGAUACCCCAUGAAUGAGGCUCUGCCCCUGCUCUCAUGGGUCAGCACACUGGCCUUUGGGGUCACAGGGCCCAUCAGACGGGUCAGGCUUGCAUAUCAGAGCCUGGGUGAGGUCCUGCCCUUGGCACAUACACCAAAGACAGACUGGGCACUCCAUGGACUUCCAUGUCCAUGUCCACCAGUGUAGGAACAUUUUCACACCAGGUCCUUGGAAAGGUCACAUCGGUCAGCUGUCCCAAAGGCCCCGCUGCUCCCUGAUGAAGGCAGAAGCCCCUUCCUCACUCUCUAGCCUUCAGCUCUUCUCCCCCCACCUUCUACCUCCUGCUUAUUGCAGCUUCUCCCUGGCCCCCAACUGCCUCUCCUGAACCCCUCAUUCUCCUCAUAGUAGCCAGAGCGAGCUUCUAAACAGAGAGGCCAAGACCACGUCUUCCUCUGGUGGAUUCCUAUUCUGUGGCCUACAAGGUCCUGCACACUCCUCACCUCACACUUUGUUCACCCGCCAUGCUCCAUGCACCUGGUUCUGUAGAUGUGCCCCUGCCCCAGGGCCUUUGCACUUGCUGUUGCUUCUGCUUGGAAUGCUCUUCAGUCUCCAAAGAUGGGCUUUUUUGUUUAGGUUUCAACUCAAGUGCUGCCUCCUUCAAGAAAGCUUCCUUGAUCUUAGAGCUAAAGAAGGCCCAGUCACUUUCUAAAACAUCAGCUCGCUUUGUUGGCUGUACCACAUCUCCCUUGAUUUGAGCCAGUCUGUCUGUGUACCUGUAGACUCUCUCCACUGAAUGCCACUCGGUGAGAUCAGGGAGUUUGUUGCUCUGGUUCAUUACUCUCUCCUGAGUGGCUGGCACCGGUUAGGCUUCAAUAAAAGUCUGUGGAAUGAAUGAAUGAAUGAAUCUUCACCUCAUGUAACCCCACACUCCUGCCAAGGCCACAUUUCCUGAAAUCUUCAUGCACUUCAUGCUCCUGGUGGGGUCUUUCCUCCUCCUGCCAGGACCGUCAUGGCCUAAAGCAAGCUCUGCCUCCUCCUCCUUCUGUUGAUCUGUUGGCCAGUCCUUUUCUAAGAGUCCUUUUGGCUCUGUCUCUGCUUGGAGUACAUGUGCCCUGUGUGGGCAGGGCCCCACCCACCUCGGGCUGACAUCCCCAUGCACAGGGGGGACACGCCACCAGGUGUGUGCACUGCUGAGUCAGGAUGGUCCUCCUGGACCGGCAACCUUGUGAAGCUAAUGAGUGGCUUCUGACGCUUGGAUUCUCCCACUUCCACUUCUUUCCCCAGGUCCCGGGCCCCUUUACUUCCUCAAGGUUCCCUGUGUCCUCUCCCCUCCACCUCCUGCUUUCCAACCCAUCCCCAUGCAGGCCUGUCUUCAGAUCUUUCCCACCAAGGACCAUGAGAGCAUCACGUCUCCCAGAGGAGACCUGCUUUGAGCCGAGGGGGAAGGUGGUCUGUUGGUAGAAUUUCAAUAUCAGUGACGCAUUUCUGCCCCACCCGAGAGCUUCCCUGGGCCCCUUAAAUCUUGCCCCAUAGGCCAUUACUUGCUCUGCAUCUGUGGGGCUCAGGGGAGCCUCAAGACCAGGACAGCGGCCAGUCUCUGACCUCCUUGGGAGUAUUUCCCUGAAUAUCCCCCAAAGAACCAGAUGCCUAGAAAGACAGUAUGAAGGAAAGGCUGGGGCUGUAUCCAUGAAAAGAACAGAAACAGACUUCUCGUCCUGCAGCCCCGUCCUGUCUAGCCACUGCCACCUUCCUCUCGGAGAGAACCAGAGGAUGUCUGGCAGGGCCAGUCUGGGGGGCCCAGAAGGCAUCCGCAUAUGGAGCCCCCCCCCCCAUUCCCAGAUUGUGAAGCUGGAAGUGGAGGCUGCGGAGGCACCAUCCUCUCUGGAGUUUGUGCCCCUCACACCUCCCGCAUCCCGGGUCACAGGGAGAUUAUUAAGGCCAAAGCGCUUAUGUUCCCAGAGCAGGAGCCUCAGGCUUUCAGGCUGAUAGCUUCACCUGCGACUUUGUGAGGAAGCCACCCGCAAAGCCUGUGAAUUCUGUGUCACAUACACUCUUUGAAUCGGGGUGCUCCUCCUUCCCCCAUUGUCCCUCGUGUCCGCCAGAACACAUGGCCGUUCUCUUUCACCCCGACCACCCCGUUACAGGAGCCCCCUCCCUGGACGCCCCACCCAGCACUCAUCGUGAGCUUCUGAAAACGUCCCUCUGAUCAUGUCCCUCUCACGACUCCAGACCCUUCCCUGGCUGCUCGUCAGACUCCAAAUAGAAUCCAGAGUCACUAAAUCCCGCACAGGCUGGCCCUUGUCCAUCUCACAUCCCUCCUCUCAAGGCCCCAGUGACACUGGCCUCGCUCCCAUCCUCAGAGUCAGCAGGCUCUGGGCCACCUUGGGGGGCCUCUGCCUGAGCCCGUCUCCCCGCUGGCAUCUCUCUCCGUCUCACACCCGAGAGCCCUCCCGCCCUCCCGCCUGAGGCAGGCCCCUCUAUCACGUGCUACCGAAAGGCCUCCGUCUUUCAUUGAAUUUACAAGUUAUAAUUAUUUGAUAAAUGCACUGGCACAUUUGUUUGUUGUUUACACUGCAAGCUGCGUGUGCGGAGAGCAGUUUUGUUUUCCUCACUAGGUCUGGGCCUGUCAUGGGGUCUUUCUUAUUCACUAAUAAGAUCCCCAGCAGCUAACAGGGUGACAGCACAGAAAAAAAGCAUUUAUUAGAUGAGUGAAUAAAACUGGAGGGGCUCAGGCCCCCACUGCUCCCCUCUUCCCCCCUACAGUAGUCACUGAAGCAGCUCUCCCACAUUCAGCCCAGGGCAGAGCAAGGUGACACAUCAGGAUCAUUCUAGAACGUCACGGGAGAACGUCUCCGGAGAAGGACUAAGUAUUCCCAAGGGCCACGCUAAUGCGGGACAGCUCUUUCCUG